Molecule: ribosomal RNA, 418 nt
Filed under: Russula juniperina
Lineage: Eukaryota; Fungi; Basidiomycota; Agaricomycetes; Russulales; Russulaceae
Description: mitochondrial SSU rRNA
Rfam family: Bacterial small subunit ribosomal RNA
Source: RNAcentral
UGAUAUUACCUUAUUAUUAGUGUCGUCCAAAACUGGUGCCAGAAGACUCGGUAAGGCCAGAGACACAAACGUUAAUCGUCUUAAUCAGGCGUAAAGGGUUUGUAGGCGGCUUUAAAAUUUACUUAUAAAUAAAAGGUGAAGAAACAAAGCUAGAAUCAAAUAGAGGAUAUAUGAAAGAAUGCUUAGAGUAGGUCUGAUAUCCUUAGAUACUAAGUAGAAUAUUAAAGGCGAAAGCUUUUUUCCAUUAAUGAUUGACGCUCAGAAACGAAGGUGAGGAUAGGAAAUAGGAUUAGAUACCCAAAAUACCCCUCUCUGUCAACGAUGAAUGGUAGUUAUUAAUAAAAAAUUAUUAAUGGCAAUGUUAACACGAUAACCAUUCCGCCUUGUGAGUACAACUGCAAAGUUGAAAACAAAAAAA